Molecule: long non-coding RNA, 282 nt
Filed under: Solanum tuberosum (potato)
Lineage: Eukaryota; Viridiplantae; Streptophyta; Magnoliopsida; Solanales; Solanaceae
Description: long non-coding RNA (STUB_LNC006392)
Source: RNAcentral
GACUUCAUAUUCUUGUUUAGGGGGUCAAAUUGAGUGGGAAAUGGGUCUAACCCAAAUUUUAGAGCAACCGUAUCAAAAUCCGAAAUUUCCAAGUGAAGCCUUUUUCGAGGGUCUACUUUGGAGGGUCAUAUCUCCUAGCACACAAAUUAUUUGGGUGGCCAAUAAUAUAUCCAUGGAAAGCCCUUUGAGUUAGCUACCUAAAUCACUUCGUUUCACCUCAUUCGGAGUUCGGACGAAGAAGUUAUGCCCAUUUUCGUAAAGUCUGUCCGGCAGAAAAUGCAA